RNAcentral lists this ribosomal RNA (435 nucleotides) under uncultured bacterium. Its description in RNAcentral is "bacterial SSU rRNA". It matches the Rfam family "Bacterial small subunit ribosomal RNA", at positions 957 to 1393 of the family's 1533-position model. The record is from RNAcentral.
GAACGCGAAGAACCUUACCAGGUCUUGACAUCCCUUGACAACUCCAGAGAUGGAGCGUUCCCUUCGGGGACAAGGUGACAGGUGGUGCAUGGUUGUCGUCAGCUCGUGUCGUGAGAUGUUGGGUUAAGUCCCGCAACGAGCGCAACCCUUAUUACUGGUUGCCAGCAUUUAGUUGGGCACUCUAGUGAGACUGCCGGUGACAAACCGGAGGAAGGUGGGGAUGACGUCAAAUCAUCAUGCCCCUUAUGACCUGGGCUACACACGUGCUACAAUGGCGUAUACAACGAGUUGCCAACCCGCGAGGGUGAGCUAAUCUCUUAAAGUACGUCUCAGUUCGGAUUGUAGGCUGCAACUCGCCUACAUGAAGUCGGAAUCGCUAGUAAUCGCGGAUCAGCACGCCGCGGUGAAUACGUUCCCGGGUCUUGUACACACCGA